This 784-nucleotide ribosomal RNA is filed under the name Terribacillus sp. RKEM 1564. Its description in RNAcentral is "bacterial SSU rRNA". It matches the Rfam family "Bacterial small subunit ribosomal RNA", at positions 94 to 863 of the family's 1533-position model. Lineage: Bacteria; Bacillati; Bacillota; Bacilli; Caryophanales; Bacillaceae. The record is from RNAcentral.
AGCGGCGGACGGGUGAGUAACACGUGGGCAACCUGCCUGUAAGACUGGGAUAACUUCGGGAAACCGGAGCUAAUACCGGAUAGUAUUUCCUUUCUCCUGAUUGGAAAUGGAAAGACGGUUUCGGCUGUCACUUACAGAUGGGCCCGCGGUGCAUUAGCUAGUUGGUGGGGUAAUGGCCCACCAAGGCGACGAUGCAUAGCCGACCUGAGAGGGUGAUCGGCCACACUGGGACUGAGACACGGCCCAGACUCCUACGGGAGGCAGCAGUAGGGAAUCUUCCGCAAUGGACGAAAGUCUGACGGAGCAACGCCGCGUGAGCGAUGAAGGCCUUCGGGUCGUAAAGCUCUGUUGUUAGGGAAGAACAAGUACGAGAGUAACUGCUCGUACCUUGACGGUACCUAACCAGAAAGCCCCGGCUAACUACGUGCCAGCAGCCGCGGUAAUACGUAGGGGGCAAGCGUUGUCCGGAAUUAUUGGGCGUAAAGGGCUCGUAGGCGGUUUCUUAAGUCUGAUGUGAAAGCCCACAGCUCAACUGUGGAGGGUCAUUGGAAACUGGGGAACUUGAGUGCAGAAGAGGAGAGUGGAAUUCCACGUGUAGCGGUGAAAUGCGUAGAUAUGUGGAGGAACACCAGUGGCGAAGGCGACUCUCUGGUCUGUAACUGACGCUGAGGAGCGAAAGCGUGGGGAGCAAACAGGAUUAGAUACCCUGGUAGUCCACGCCGUAAACGAUGAGUGCUAGGUGUUAGGGGGUUUCCGCCCCUUAGUGCUGAAGUUAACGCAUUAA